Long non-coding RNA from Marmota monax (woodchuck), 11607 nucleotides. RefSeq lists it as uncharacterized. The transcript is spliced from 2 exons. Lineage: Eukaryota; Metazoa; Chordata; Mammalia; Rodentia; Sciuridae. The record is from RefSeq and is a predicted model, not a curated record.
GCGACCUCUAUGUCCCGCCCCCUCAGACUCGGAAGGGGGCGGGGCCAGGGGCGGAGCUACUAGGGAGACCCGGGGCCGCGGUGCCGGCGGUUCGGACGCCGAGCGGUCACCGCUACGCGUUGCUUCCGGGACUGGCUCCGCGCUCAUUACCAGCCACACGUCGUUGAAGGUGGCUAUUCCUUUAGCCGUUUGGGGGCUACGUAUUGAACUCGUACUGUGCGCCAGGUAUUGUGUCGGGGGGGAUCCCACUCCGUGUUUUCCCGGACCUCAGGCUGGAGAGGGAAAGAAGGUGCGCUGGAGAGGAGGCACGGUUCUUCACGGCGCAAGGACCUGGCCUGCAGGAGGCCUUCCCCUAGGAAGUGACGGUUAAGCUGAGAGUGACAGGGGCCGGAGGGAGGCCAGUGCGGACGGCGGCGGAGCGCGGCCGCGCUGGCCCAGUGUUUGGGCAGGGCCUUACCUGCUCCCUUGUCGGAGCGUGGGAAGCUAGUGGGAAGCAGGAGCCCAUUUGCGUUUGAAAAGGCCUCUAAUGUGAAGGAAUCCCACUGGAGGAAGGGGUCAAAUGGAUGCAGGGAGGCCAGCAGAAGAUGGUUGCUGAAGUCCGGGGAAGAAGUGACGAUAACAACUCGGACUAGGGUGAUGGCAGCGUAAGUGAAGAGAGUGAGAGGACUCAAGAGCUGUCCGGGAGGUUCUAUCAGCCGGCCCUGGCGUCGCGCCUACGUGUAUGGGCGAUGGAGAAGAAGGAACGGGGAAGGAGGGCUAUUUUUCUGACUUGGGCCUUGGAAUGGGAGUACUAGUCACAAAGAAAGCGAACACUGGAAGAGAAAAUCAUUUCUACCCAAAAGAAUUGAAAGCAGUUAUUCAAACAAAAACUUGUACUAGUAUACAAAGACAGUGUUCACAAUAGGCAGUGAAUGGAAACAACUCAAAAGUACAUCAGCCGAUGAAUGGAUAUAUAAAAUAUGGUACAGCAGAUGAUUAUUUGGCCAUCAAAAGGAAUGAAGCAUUGAUGCUACAACAUAACAUGCUACAAGAGAAGCAGACCUUGAAAACAGUAAGUGAAAGAAGCCAGAAGCAAACGGCUGCAUAUGGUUUCAUUUGUAAGAACUGUCCGGAAUGGGCAUAUACCAGGGGCGAGAUACCAUCUAGGAGAUGUUGGAGAAUAACACAGGGUUAAAUACAGGGUUUCUUUUAGGGCAAUGAAAGUGUUCUGAAAAUAGUGGUAAUAGUUAACAAAAUUGUGACUGUACUAUAUGCCACUGAAUUAUAUACUUUAAAAUUGUAAAAAUAAUGGAUUUUAUCUGUUUACCCCAAUUUAAGAAAAAUGAAAACAAAAAGUGUGUACUUUGGAAUUAGAUCAGUCCCAAUUGUACCAUUAAUUAACUCUGUGACCUUGGACAUGCUCAUUUCUGUGCCUCAGUUUUCUCAUCUGUAAAAUGGAGACAUCAUGGUCUCUACCUCUGCAGGUUGUUGUAAAGACUGAGUGGGAUAAUGCAUGUCAUUCAGCACAGUGCCUAGAACAGACCAAGUCCUCAGUCAGUCAUUGUUAUCAUCAUCAUUAUUAGUAUCAUCAUCAUCGUCAUCAUCUUGUAUCAGGUUCAAUAGCAAGUAGAGCCAUCUCUAGAAAUUUCCAAAUAUUCUUAGUGCACCAGCAUCACUGCAUGUAUGCAAGAUCACAGUUUGAAAAACAUUGCUUCAAGCCAGUGUUGUCUCUGACAUCUGUAAGCAGUCUGUCACCAAAUGACAAGCACCAUGAAACCAUUCCACUUGAGAGGAGGGCAUGUGUCUUCCCGCUGGGCCUCUGGACCAGCCCACUCCUGACUUUCAGCUUUCUUUCCAGCAGAGCCAACCACUGUAGUUUUCAAGAUGUGUCCUAUGACCCUCCAUCCUGAUUUCCAAAUCAUGGAUGUCCCAAACACUUUAAAGUGCUUAGAGCCACUAACAUACAGAUGAGUGGUUGCUAGCUGGUAUUAGCUGGCCAAAGGUAUUUUUUUCUUUAUUUUUAAAGAUUUUUUAUGUUAGUUGUAUAUGGAUAUAGUAUGCUUUUUUUGUUUUGUUUUUUGAUACCAGGGAUUGAACUCAGGGUCACUCAACCACUGGGCCACAUCUCCAGCCCUAUUUUGUACUUUUUUUUAGAGUCAGAGUUUCACUGAGUUGCUAAGCGCCUUGCCUUUGUUAAGGCUGCCUUUGAAUUCUUGAUCCUCCUGACUCAGCCUCCAGAGCUGCUGGGAUUAUAGGCAUGCACCACCAUGCCUGGCUUCUUUAUUUAUUUUUAUGUCAUGCUGAGGAUCAAACCCAGUACUUCACAUGUGUUAGACAAGCACCGUAAAACCGAGCUACAACCCCAGGCCUGUCCAUAGAUUUCUGAAGGAGCUUUUUACAGCACAUCUAGGGUAAUGUAUUAAGCACCCUCACAUUUUUCAUCAACCAUUUUCCUACUGAAAGAUUGCAUCCUUCAGUGCAUUUCUGAAAUACAACUCUACCAUACUAGCACGAGUUGUUCACAACACCACUUUCUAAAAAUCCAAGGUAAGAAAAUAGUCUUUAGUGAAGAAAAAUGAAGCACACCAAGAAAAGCAAUGAAAGGUGGAUGCUGCACAAAUAUACUAGCAGCCCUUGUGUGCUUAUGGGAUGUCUUUGUGUGUACAACAGUGGUUAUUUAUUACCACCAGAGGAAAUGCAGUGAAGCUUAACCACAUACCAACUGUAAAUUAAUCUGAGUUACUCAAUAGAGUAAUUACAUUAGAAAUAAUUUAAAAUGCACUAAAGUCUUCCACACUCUCUUAAAAUUCACAGAACAAAUCAAUUUAGAGUUUCAAAGUUUGCUUGUUUUCAAUAGCAUGCAGGGAGCAACACCUAGGUAAAGGCCAAGCAGGAGGGGCUGGGCCAGACUGCACUGAAUGCAAGUUUUUUGUUAAUUGCCAAAGAACUGCACACCACCUAUUCUGUUUUGCCACAAAAUUACUGCUGUUGAUCCUUUUUCCUCUAUAAAAUUAGACUGAUUAGUCUGGGCGUGGUGGUGCAUGCCUGUUAUCACAGUGACUCGGGAGGCUGGGGCAGGAGGAUCAUGGGUUCAAAGCCAGCCUUAGCCAUGGUGAGGUGCUAAGCAACUCAGUGAGACCCUGUCUCUAAAUAAAAUACAAAAUAAGGAUGGGGAUGUGGCUCAGGAGUCGAGUGUCCCUGGGUUCAAUUCCUGGUACCCCUCCCCAACCCUCCAAAUCAGGAUGAUUAUAGUUCAUCUUAUGUGAUUGAAGAGAAGACGAAAACAAAGAAGUGAAUUGAAAAAGUUCAAAAAAUGUUUUAUUGAAUAAUUGUUUCUAAUUAUAUGAUAUAUGCAAGAACAAAAAUAUUUUUCCUAACUCUUAAGGCGUCUGGCUCUGUUGCCCAGACUGACCUCACACUUUCGAAUUUAAAUGAUAUUCUUGCCUCAGUGUCCCAAGUAGAUAAGACUUCAGGUGCCCAGCAGCAUACCUUGCCUGGUCUGUCUUUUAUGCCAAUUGAGUUGAUGAGGACAAGAUCGAUGAAGUUAUAGGUCCCAGUUUAGCUAUUCCAAGGUUGAUCAAUGAAUUCAAGUUCAGUUUGUCACAACAGGUGAAUAAAGCAAGUACAUAGUCCCAAGGGCAGGCACUGGGGACCAUGAACCAUUAGUUCACAAUUGGGAUGCUGCAGGCGAACUCCCAGCAAGCUGGAAUCCAUUUAUCAUGACCAGACACAGAAGGUCAGAAUCAGGAAAGGGCCUCUACCCCCACCUGGCACUGCCUCCCUCCUGUGUGGUUGAGGUUCUCUCAAACUUUCUUAUGACAAAGUGUCACUGUCUAGCAUAGUGCUUUGUACUAGCAAAGUGCUCAAAGCAAUGACAACAUUAGAAGUUUUUAUUCUUUCAAAUUCCUUCUAUUAAAAGGUUGAUCUUCAGUUGUAACUUCAAUUGAGACUAAAUAAAAUAAUUUGGGAUUUAGAACCUGUUAGUCAACUAUUCAUUAUUUUGACAAGUAACAAAAAAAAAAACAACUUAGGGAGGAAAGAUUUAUUUUGGCUCUGGGUUUCCCCAGUUGACCAGCUCCAUUGCUCUGGGCCCAGGUGAGGCAGCACAUCAUGGCAGAGGGCCUGGCUGAGGAAAAGUAUUUAACUCAUGGCAGCAAGAAACAAAGUGAAAGAGAGGAGAAGGGGUCAGGUUAAGAAAUGCCCUUCCCUGCCAGGCAUGGUGGUACACGCCUGUGAUCUCAGCCACUCAAGAGGCUGAGGCAGGAGGAUCUCAAGUUCAAGGUUAGCCUCAGUAACUUAGCAAGGUCCUAAGCAACUUAGUGAGGCCCUGUAUUAAAAUUAUAGAUAAAAUGGACUGGGGAUGUCACUCAGUGGUACCUACCCCAACCCCAGUUCAACCCCAAGUGCCAAAAAAAAGAAAGAAAGGAAAAUACCCUCUCCAGGCACACCCCCAGUGACCUACUUGCACCAACCAUUUCUCACUGUGGACAGUUUCCACCAAUUCCCAAGAGUCCUUUCAGCUGUCAGUGAAUUAAUCCAUGGACGAGGCCAGAGCCCUCCCGACUCCACCACUUCCCCAAAGCCCCACUUCUGGACAUGGCUGCAUUGGGGACCAGAUCUUCAACCCAUGAGCCUUUGGGAACAUUCCAGGUCAAAACCAUGACAAGCACUUCUUAUUUUCUCAUUUAUCCUGGAUAUCUUUCUGAAUGAAGAACAGAAGACCCAUCUGGAAGAGGGAAAGCAAAGACCGUUGGCUCAAGAAGAAAGUCCAAAGGUGAAAUUGGUGAGAGUAGAUCAGGGAUGAAUCACAGGGAGACCUGACCCAUCUCUCUGCCUCCUCGUUACUCUGCUUUAUUUUCAUAGGUGUUUGCUUCACUUUUACCAGUUUCUCUCCUCUGAUAAGCCCUGUUGUGCCAUGAGGAAGCCUUAGUUUGAACCCCAGCAGGAAAAGAGAGAGGGCUUUCCUUUCAAAGCUUGCUGACUCUGACCUAUCUUGGGUGACAGGUUCACCAUGGAGCCAUCGCGGUAGCAAAGGGCAUCUGAUUCCUUGGUCAGGCAGGCCCAGGUCCCAUCCAGGCAGGAAUCUGAUUGGAAUCAGCCUCCCAUGAUCCACUGGGACUGGUAGCUGAUGUGGGGGCCGGUGGAGUUUCCCUGGGGAAAAUAAGCUUUCUAAUAACAACAGGUAGGAAGAGAUGCUGGGCAGAUGACCAGAACUCCCCACAGGCCGUGAUCUGCACAGACAUGUCGCUGCUGUGCCCCUUGCGGCCUUGGACGGCAUGACCCUGUUAUAAUUCUUCCUCCUCCUUUCUCUUCCUUAAGGUCAGAAAUCACUAGCUCAUUUCUGAAUCCCUUGCUUCCCUUCUUCCUAGCUUCAUCUGCAGUUCUAGGACAGACACCUUUCAUUCAGUAACUACCUGUUGCUUGGAUGAACGAGUUUCUUGUUUGUAUACGUGUACUCACAGUAAAUAAUUUUGCAUGUGUUAAAAAUGAAGUCAAGGGCUGGGGCUGAGGCUCAGCUGUAGCAUGCUUGCCUGGCAUGUGUGAGGCACUGGGUUUGAUUCUCAGCACCGCAUAUAAAUAAAUAAAUAAAGCUGUUUCAACAACUAAAAAAACAUUUUAAAAAAUGAAGUCAAAGUGCAACAGAUGAAUUGAUGAGAAAUACAAGUCACCGGAUCAAAUGGAUGUGAUACUAUUUAAUUUUUCUGAUUACAUUUGCUAGUAAUCACAGCGGAAUAUUAUCAUUUACUAGGUGCCAGCCAUCAUUCUAAGCAUUUGUCUAGCCCAUGACCAGCGCUGGCUUCAUGAAAGAAGGUUUGAAUUGUGAGAAAACGCUAGGGAGUUUUAAAUUAAAGAGACAAGACUCUAAUUACCUUUAAAAUCAGCUCCAGGACGGCUCCUCCCAGCUCCAGCCUCAAGCCACCAAAAGUGGUAUCGAGAGGUUUACUGAAGAGGCUAGUGAGAGAGAGCACUCCACGGAGUGGGCUUUUAUUGGGAAACAAAAAAUGCUGGGGAAAAUCCCAUCCAAUGAAGGUUAAAGGGGGCACCAUCCCAAGGUCAGGGGCGAUGAUUGGGUCUUUGGGGCAGUGGCCAGACACGCCUCUGCAGGGACAAGCCCUCAGACCUGGAGAAGGGUGGGCAAAGCUCUGACACAGCUGUGUCUAAGCGCCUCUCACCCAGCCAGGGAGGUAACUCAAAUCACAUUCGAGGAUGGCCUCCCACACAUUUGCUCUCUGUUUAGACCUCACACCAACCUGAUGACAUAGGGGGAUGAGUGUCUCUUUAAGUGGGAGAGCGGGCUCAGGGACGUAGGCGUCCUGGCUUGAGUCAGCUCUCAUAAUGCUUCGCUGCUAAUAUUCACUGUGCUAAGCACUGGGAUUUGCAUAGGCAAUAAUCACUCUCCUUAAAGACCAAUAUAAGCCAGGGACAAACAAUUUUGUGCACUUUUGACAUUAGUUCACAGAAAAGCCCUAAGGGGUGGGGGUUAUGUGAGGAUCCAUAAUUAUAUCACUAAUCAAAAUCACAUGAGGGAUCACUUAGGCCCUAGUUGGGGCAGGCGGUAUACUUAGAUGUCCCAAAAUACCGUUCUGCAGGGUGAAAACUAAGUUGCGUCCAUGCUAAGACUGGACUAAGAUGUCAAAAUAAGGCUGUUCUUCUACUUAUAUUUCAGAAAUGUGUUCCAAAGUAAGCUAACUUUUUUUUUCCCUAAGUAAGUUCUGUGGGCCAGCAGGUCCCUCCCACCCAGAGCUUGUUAGAAAUGCAGAAUUUCAGGCCCAUGUUAGAGCUACACGAUCAACAUUUGCACCUUACGACAUUCCUAGGAGAUGCCUGUGCAGAGGAAAAGUUGAGAAACUCUGAACUAAUGUGAAAACAGAGUCAGCCAUUGCGUCUGUGGGUGCCAUGCGACGGAAGCUUGCUCAUCCAUGGCUGAGGCAGGUUACCUUAUCUGGUACCUGGAACAUUUGAGGUGUUCAGCCAGGGGAGUAGCACAUGACUAAAAAGAGUCCAGCCAACCAAGAGGGACAGAGAGUCUUUGGCUGGAGCACAGGCCCAUGUGUUCUGGGCCUCCUGACUAUCCUGCCACUUCUCAAGUUGAGAGCUAGAGAAAGCCAAAGCCUAGCAGCCAGUAAGGUAAACAAAACAGAAAGAACACCUGGAGCUAAGACCGUGGAGGGAAAAGCAAGCCUCCCCAGAACCAGGAGGGAGCAGCUCUUUCCCUUGCUCCCUCUACUGGCAGGGCUUCACCUCCCUCUACUGGCAAAGGAAACUAUUUAAAAGGUUCAGAUCCUUUUCACAGAGCAGGCAAUGAAGGGUGGACUGUCAGGGGAUAUCUUUUUCUCUUUUGGAACUUUGGGGAUGGGCUACGGAUUGAUCCUAGGGUCUUAAGCAUGGUUAAGUGCUCUACUACUGAGCUACAUCCCAGCGCCUCCUGUUUGUGAAUUUUAUUUGAGACAGGGUCUUGCUAAGUUGCGCAGGCUGGUCUUUGAACUUGUGGUCCUCCUGCCUCAGCCUCUGAGUGGCUGGAAUCACAGGAGUGUGCCACUGAUAUCUCAAUAAGGGCACAUCACAGUGUAUUUUACCAGUUUCCUACUAAUGGACAUCAUGGCAUGUUCCAUUUUUCACCUUUCUCAACAAAACUUCUUAGAACGGCCCUAAGCAUAUUAUUGUCACACUUGAAGGAUUAUCUCAAGAGAAUUUUCAGUUGAGGAAAAAAACAUGAAGAGAUCUGUAUUCCAUUCUUGGGUUAAUCAAAGUAAAUCUUGGGCUGAAGUCGUCUGGGGAAAAUGUGGACGUUAGUGGCUGCCUGGAUUACUCAGAGAGGGCCAAGGGCUUUAUUUUUACGUGGCCUCUGCUGCUUCCUUAAUAAUCUGCAGAACAAGGACAACUUCUGUUUAAGAAGUCUUCAGAGGCCUGAAGCUUCAUCUCCCAUGUGAAUGUCAUUGAAGCCCAAACUCCUGCCAUUCAGGCCUCCGCCAGUGUAACCUCCCCUCCCCUCUCACCCGGGGGACCAUCCUUGCUCUUUGAACUUCUUUAUUUGGCACCUGAGGAUCCUGUCUUUCCCCUUGAAAGAUUAACUUAUUUCCCUUGGGAAUAUUUUAAAAUUUGUAUUGCUAGAUAAGACCCAGUAUUCAGCCAGGUGUGGUGGCGCACACCUGUAAUCACAGUGGCUCAGGAGGCUGAGGCUAGACUCAGCAACUCAGUGAGGCCCUAAGCAACUCAGUGAGACCUUGUCUCAAAAUAAAAUACAAGAAGGGCUAGAGAUGUGGCUCAGUGGUUAAGCACCCCUGGAUUCAAUCCCUGGUAUCAAAAAAAUGACCCAGUAUAGGUAAAUGUUUAUAAACAACAACAACAAAAACCUCUAGGGAGCCCUGUUUUCUGCACAGAAAGUUUGUCUUCCCCUUCCCCAUUCCUAGUUCUGAUCUAGGAAUCUUUCACAUUCGCCCUGUACCCUGAAGUAUAUUGAAGAUAUACCUCAAUCCAUUAAUUAACUGGGCACGAACAUUAUGCCAUGCAAACCUCACAAGAAUCCUAAAGGAUAACCUUAUGACCAUUUAUAUACAAGGAAUCUAUGGCUAAAAGCCUGCCAGCUUUGUCUGAGGUCACAGAGGUAACAAGUAGUACACUGGAAUUUGAGACCAGGUUCCUCAAGUCCAAUCUGCAGGAACCACCAUGUUAUAGAAAAAUAUAUAACUUAAGAGGAGAAGGGCCCAGUAGGCUUGCUGAUCUGUGUUGGCUGAGAGGGCCUCAACAUGCCCCGUCAUCUCCGAAGGCCCCUGUGGAAGUCCCUGUGUGUUCAGGCCCUGCUGGCUGGCCUUGCUGGGGCCCUUGUCCUGGACACCUGACUCCUCUCUCCCUCACCCGAGGCUCCCUCCUAAGCCCUGUCUCCUGAAGGCAUUGCUCCCCUGUUGGAGGUAACCAGGGCAGGGCAGCGGGUGCUCUGAAGGGAUGGAGCCGCUCUUCCCAGAGCAUCUCUCAAGACAGGAGAUUCCACCUUCCCGGGCACCAGCUGCAGAUGUGACAUAGAGGUGCAGGACUAUGGGUCCCCAGCAGGAGCUGCCUACCCUUUUGCUUGCUUACGUUUUUUAUUAUUAUUAUUACAGAUUUACAGAAAGACACACACACGUGUGUGUACGUACUUAUGAAGAACCUCAAACAUCAUCAAAAUGUGUAACAAGAAAAUCCUCAUAGAAUGCACCCCCAAUGAUCACUAACAGUUGGACACUUUAUUUAUUUAUUUUAGUUGUGGAUGGACCCAAUAUGUUUAUUUUUAUUUAUUUUAUUUACAAUUCAACUCUUCAGACAGAGGGCAGAGAAUAAUGCAUUUUCUGUUAUAUCAUUUUACUCCUUUUUUUGUAUUUUUUUUUAGCUGUAGGUGGACACAAUACCUUUAUUUUAUUUUUAUGUGCUGCUGAGAAUUGAACCCAGGGCCUCACGCAUGCAAGGCAAGUGCUUUACCACUGAGCCUCAGCCCCAGCCCCUGACAUAUUAUUUUGUUAUUAAAACAAAACUAAUGGUGCUGGGUGCAGUGGCACAUGCCUGUAAUCCCAGUGGCUUAGGAGGCCGAGGUGCGAGGACAGCUAGCUCCAAUCCAGGGUCAGCAAGUUAGCAAGGCCCUAAGCAACUUAGCAAGACCUUGUCUCAACAUAAAAUAUUAAAAAAAAAGUCCUGAGGAUGUGGCUCAGUGGUUUAGCGCCCCUGGGUUCAAUCCCCGGUACCAAAAACAAACAAAAAUAACUAAUGGACUUUUUUUUUUAGAGCAGUUUCUAAUUCACAGCAAAACUAAGCAGAAAGUGGAGUUCCCAUGCACUGCCACCCACACAGGAGCCUCCACACCAGCAACAGCUCCGCACCCCCAGGGUGGUGCGUGUUGUCCCGGGGGCACCUACACUCACACGUGGCCGUGGUCUCCUUCAGUACUGGCACUUGGUGUUUGGGUUUGGACAGAUGUGUGGUAACACCCAUCCACCAUCACAGUGUCACACACAGGAGCUUCGCUGCCCUAAAAACCCUCUGUGCUGCCCUGUGCAUCCCUGUCUGCCCUGGCAACCGCGUUCUCACUGUCACUGCAGUGUGACCUUCCCCAGUUUGUGAUACAGUUGAGCUCAUACACAAUGCAGCCUUUUCAGAUUGACAUUAUUUUUAUCAUUCUUAGAAGUUUUUGUCCCUAAGUACACACUGUUAUUUGAUGAGUAUUAAUGAAUCAGAUAAGGAAAAUAGCAAACAUAUUGUUUAGCAGCCUUGUUCAUUUUUGUGUGCUGGGGUGCUCAGGAGUGCUCAACCACUGAGCCACAUCCCCAGCCCUUUUUGUUGUUUGAUUUGAGACAGGGCCUUUAAGCUGCCCAGUUAGCCUUGAACUUCCUGCCUCAACCUACCUGCUGAGUUGCUGGGAUUACAGGCGUGCCUCACCAUACCCAGACUGUUCAGUAGUUUUCUUAAGCUGACGCUGUGUAAAUCUUGGUAUAUUUUCUUGUCAGUGUAUAUAAGAGAUAAUAAUGGUAAUAGCAGUAACAGCUAACCAUUGAACAUGUACUAUGUGCCUUGUACUUUCUGCUGUAAGUGUUCUCCAUGUGUGAUGUGGGCUGAGCUGGGUCCCCCUAAACUUCAUAUGCCGAGGCCCUAACCCCCAGGGUUUCAGAGUGCAGGGGGAGAGGGAGCCUUGCAGAGGUGAUGAUGUCAGUAUGGUGACCGGUAAUCAAUGUGACCGGCGUUCUUGUGAGAGGACGGGAGCGUAGGACAGAGACAUACACAGAGCAAAGGUCAUGUGAAGAUGGGGGGAGAAGGUGAGUGUGCAAGCCACCACCUCAGGAGAAACAGCCCUGCCCACCCCCAUGGAGACCGCCAGCCUCCAAACUGGGAGGAAAUCAGUUCUGAUGUUCAAACCUCCCAGUCUUGACUUGGCUCUGGAGUCUCCAGAAGAUGAAUAUAAAUGUGUAACCCGUGUUCUCAGCUCAGCUUCAACAGGUAGGAACUCUGGUCCCUGUUACCAGGGAGGAGCCAGACACGAGAGACUAGAGAACGUCCCAAGGUCUCCCAUGCUAUCACAGCAGGAGAGACUAAGUCACAGUUCUGGUCCUCGCAGUGCAGCGGGCUGGGCCAGGGCAUGUGUUCUUCAGAGUCCCUCCGGCGCAGGCUGAGGGAGCGCCACACCAACAGCUUCCAUGUCCCCAGGCGGAGGACCUCGCAUUGGCCUGCCCAUCACUCCACUUAGUCACCCCCAUGACCGCAGGUCAUAAGGCCCCACGUCACAUGAAGGCAUGUUGAAGCACAGCCCGCCAUCUACCCAGAGGAAGAGGACUGGGACAUGCCAUCGUGAACAGCACGUGGCACCACACAGGGCAGAGGAGGGACGUGGGUAGGUGAGGUUCACACUGAUGCUCAUUCUAGAUUCUUUUUUAUGCAUUUCUUCCCCUACCUGGUGCUCACUGGUGUCCUGCCACUAUAAGAAAACAAUCAUUAUGCGCACAACACCUUCCCGAGGCCCGGGGAGUCACUCUAGUGAAUAGUCAAACCUGAGGGCGGUUGUCAGGAACCCCCGGUCUGUAGUCACUGGUAUUGAAGGGGCCCCUGAAAAUCCCCGCAAUAUGGCUGAUAUCUGAAAUAAAGAUGGUCUUGGUACCUUCGACCUUGAAA